This 771-nucleotide ribosomal RNA is filed under the name fungal sp. RNAcentral's name for it is "SSU rRNA". It matches the Rfam family "Eukaryotic small subunit ribosomal RNA", at positions 327 to 1099 of the family's 1831-position model. The record is from RNAcentral. Lineage: Eukaryota; Fungi.
GGUAGGAUAGAGGCCUACCAUGGUGGUAACGGGUAACGGGGUGUUAGGGCACGACACCGGAGAGGGAGUCUGAGAAACGGCUACCACAUCCAAGGAUGGCAGCAGGCGCGCAAAUUACCCAAUCCCGACACGGGGAGGUAGUGACAAUAAAUAAUAAUACGGGGUCCUUUCGGAUUUCGUAAUUGGAAUGAGUACAAUUUAAAUCUCUUAACGAGGAACAAUUGGAGGGCAAGUCUGGUGCCAGCAGCCGCGGUAAUUCCAGCUCCAAUAGCGUAUAUUAAAGUUGUUGCAGUUAAAAAGCUCGUAGUUGAAUUUCGGGAUCAAUAUGUCGGUCGUGCCUCGGUACGUACCGGCGUCAUUGGUUUCUCCCUUCUGAAGAACCUCGAUGUCAUUAAUUUGGUGUCGUGGGGAAUCAGGACUGUUACUUUGAAAAAAUUAGAGUGUUUAAAGCAGGCUAACGUCUGAAUACAUUAGCAUGGAAUAAUAGAAUAGGACGGAUUGGUUCUAUUUUGUUGGUUUCUAGGAUCACCGUAAUGAUUAAUAGGGAUAGUUGGGGGCAUUAGUAUUCAAUUGUCAGAGGUGAAAUUCUUGGAUUUAUUGAAGACUAACUACUGCGAAAGCAUUUGCCAAGGAUGUUUUCAUUAAUCAAGAACGAAAGUUAGGGGAUCGAAGACGAUCAGAUACCGUCGUAGUCUUAACCAUAAACUAUGCCGACUAGGGAUCGGACGAAGUUAAUUUUUAAAUGACUCGUUCGGCACCUUACGGGAAACC